GACGAGCAUCGACAUCAGAUUGAGCAUCCGCCAGUUGUUAUUCUGCCCACAGCAUCUGUCACUGAAUAUGAUCAACUUGCGCACCUCUGGUUUGCCAGUUCCAGUUACCGGGCUCCUCGGACUUGGAGAGUAGCACCUUGUUAUGCCAUCACUCAAGAGCAACUGAGGUGUCUGAUGUCCUGUGCUUUCAGUGUGUCUCAGAUGGCAGAUCUUCUACAUGUGUCUCGAUUGACAGUCAAAUUGACAGUCGUCUAAGACACUUCAAUCUGUCACAUGCACCGUUAUAUUCUGACAUGUCAGACUUGGCUCUGAAUGAAAAGAUUAAGGACUUGGUGGCUGGGAACGACAAACGUGGACCGGAGGCUGUUCAAUCACAAUUAAGGGCUCUGGGUGCAGAGACGCAGAGUGAGGGACAGCAUGCUUCGUGUUAACCCGAGGGCGGCUGCCCUCAGAGCCAUGUCGCAGAGGCUGCAUAGAAGGUCAUACUGUGUUGCUGGACCAAACUCGUUAGGGCACCUUGAUGGAAACCACAAACUGAUAAGGUAGAUG
This is a long non-coding RNA of Oncorhynchus tshawytscha (Chinook salmon), 549 nucleotides long. Lineage: Eukaryota; Metazoa; Chordata; Actinopteri; Salmoniformes; Salmonidae. The record is from Ensembl.